Molecule: long non-coding RNA, 775 nt
Organism: Haplochromis burtoni (Burton's mouthbrooder)
Lineage: Eukaryota; Metazoa; Chordata; Actinopteri; Cichliformes; Cichlidae
Exons: 2
Source: RefSeq, a predicted model, not a curated record
CGCCGCGGUGCGCAUGCUUAUGUAGCCUUGGAUAUCCCGGAUAGUGAAGUGUUGGGCGGUUCAACGGGGGGCAAAAUAAUCUCUGUAAAGCUUAUGUGGAUAAGCAUGAGGCCUUCUCACACCAGUAAUUGCAUUCAUCGUCCCAAGAUACAGUCAAAACAAGGUGUCUAUAGUUCUGGUCCUUGGAGAUAAGCAGAGAGAUGGAGAAUUGCAAAAGUACCAAUCAGUAUGGAGCUCCAAAGGUCUGGAGCCAGAUCUGCCAUGCCAAAGCCAGAAAACUCUUCCCUGCAGGUUUACUCAGCCAGUUAAUUAAAGACAACAGUAAGACAACAGAAUGGCAAGAAACAUGUCUCCACAUUAGGGAAUCUGUAAAAGGACUUUCCGGAUGGAGUUAAACAUGUCGGUUCAUUUUCAACAUCUGUUCCUUGACUGAUUAGCAGAACUGUCUGUCCCCAAGUUUCCUCAUCACAGCCAGGGAGGAACUCGGCUCGUGGAUCAGUCCCCUGGUGAGCCAUGUCUGCAUCAUCAGCAGAGUGCACGCACUUCUACCAUUUGCAGCAGAACUCCUGCUGCUCUGCAUCACUGACUGGCCUUGCUCCUAUUGCCUGGAGCUGGGUUUCUGACCUGAGCGAGGUACACUUCUACACACAGCCUUUCAGCGGAAGAGAUUUUGUGCCCACAAAGAGCCAUAAUGCGUGAGCCAAAUCAUCCUGAUUAGAUCAGAUCAGAUGAAACAAAUGAAAUUGGCCUGAAGGAAGUAAAUAGUGAGAAUUUU